UUGAAUGAAGCUUCUGGCUGGAUGCUGUUGUGCUGGCCCUUUGGGGCAAUGUGCACACACCCCUCUGGUCAUUUGUUUCUUCUGUUCCACCUGUGCACUGCCUGUAGACACUCUGUGUCUAUGAUAUAUAUGUCACACACACAUACAGUUGUUAAGGAAUAUCACAUAUUUAUGUAUAAAAAUA
Molecule: unclassified non-coding RNA, 184 nt
Filed under: uncultured Amanita
Lineage: Eukaryota; Fungi; Basidiomycota; Agaricomycetes; Agaricales; Amanitaceae
Description: sequence contains ITS1
Source: RNAcentral